GAUGAACGCUGGCGGCGUGCCUAACACAUGCAAGUCGAGCGAUUCUCUUCGGAGAAGAGCGGCGGACGGGUGAGUAACGCGUGGGUAACCUGCCCUGUACACACGGAUAACAUACCGAAAGGUAUGCUAAUACGGGAUAAUAUAUGAAAGUCGCAUGGCUUUUGUAUCAAAGCUUUUGCGGUACAGGAUGGACCCGCGUCUGAUUAGCUAGUUGGUGAGGUAAUGGCUCACCAAGGCGACGAUCAGUAGCCGACCUGAGAGGGUGAUCGGCCACACUGGAACUGAGACACGGUCCAGACUCCUACGGGUGGCAG
RNAcentral lists this ribosomal RNA (314 nucleotides) under uncultured Bacillota bacterium. RNAcentral describes it as "bacterial SSU rRNA". It matches the Rfam family "Bacterial small subunit ribosomal RNA", at positions 28 to 351 of the family's 1533-position model. Lineage: Bacteria; Bacillati; Bacillota. The record is from RNAcentral.